RNAcentral lists this ribosomal RNA (630 nucleotides) under uncultured bacterium. RNAcentral describes it as "bacterial SSU rRNA". It matches the Rfam family "Bacterial small subunit ribosomal RNA", at positions 55 to 700 of the family's 1533-position model. The record is from RNAcentral.
AUGCAGUCGAACGAUUAAACUUUCCUUCGGGAAAGAUAUAAAGUGGCGCACGGGUGAGUAACACGUAGGUAAUCUACCUUUGAGUGGGGAAUAACAGUCGGAAACGACUGCUAAUACCGCAUAAUGCAGCGGCACCUUAUGGUGACAGUUGUUAAAGGAGCAAUCCGCUUAAAGAGGAGCCUGCGGCAGAUUAGCUAGUUGGUAAGGUAAUGGCUUACCAAGGCUACGAUCUGUAACCGACCUGAGAGGGUGGUCGGUCACACUGACACUGAAUAACGGGUCAGACUCCUACGGGAGGCAGCAGUCGGGAAUUUUGGGCAAUGGGCGAAAGCCUGAUCCAGCAACGCCGCGUGAAGGAUGAAGUCUUUCGGGAUGUAAACUUCGUAAGAAUAGGAAGAAUAAAUGACGGUACUAUUUGUAAGGUCCGGCUAACUACGUGCCAGCAGCCGCGGUAAUACGUAGGGACCAAGCGUUGUUCGGAUUUACUGGGCGUAAAGGGCGCGUAGCGGCGUGACAAGUCACUUGUGAAAUCUCCGAGCUUAACUCGGAACGGUCAAGUGAUACUGUUGUGCUAGAGUACAGAAGGGCAAUCGGAAUUCUUGGUGUAGCNGUGAAAUGCGUANAUAUCAG